RNAcentral lists this ribosomal RNA (434 nucleotides) under Plesiomonas shigelloides. RNAcentral's name for it is "partial 23S ribosomal RNA". It matches the Rfam family "Bacterial large subunit ribosomal RNA", at positions 2132 to 2565 of the family's 2925-position model. Lineage: Bacteria; Pseudomonadati; Pseudomonadota; Gammaproteobacteria; Enterobacterales; Enterobacteriaceae. The record is from RNAcentral.
UGAUGUGUAGGGGAGGUGUGAGGCAUUGAAACGUGAUCGCCAGUUUGCGUGGAGCCGAGUUUGAUAUACCACCCGUUAAUGUUUGAUGUUCUAACGUUGUCCCGUGAUCCGGGAUACGGACAGUGGCUGGUGUGUAGUUUGACUGGGGCGGUCUCCUCCUAAAGAGUAACGGAGGAGCACGAAGGUUAGCUAGGCAUGGUCGGACAUCAUGCGGUUAGUGCAAAGGCAGCAGCUAGCUUAACUGCGAGCCGGACAGGUCGAGCAGAUACGAAAGUAGGUCUUCGUGAUCCGGUGGUUCUGAAUGGAAGGGCCAUCGCUACACGGAUAAAAGGUACUCCGGGGAUAACAGGCUGAUACCGCCCACGAGUUCAUAUCGACGGCGGCGUUAGGCACCUCGAUGUCGGCUCAUCCCAUCCUUGGGCUGACGUUGGUCC